Molecule: non-coding RNA, 18 nt
Filed under: Canis lupus (wolf)
Lineage: Eukaryota; Metazoa; Chordata; Mammalia; Carnivora; Canidae
Also listed under: 1 other name
Source: RNAcentral
UAGGGGGUUCGAUUCCUU